Molecule: ribosomal RNA, 468 nt
Filed under: uncultured bacterium
Lineage: Bacteria
Description: partial 16S ribosomal RNA
Rfam family: Bacterial small subunit ribosomal RNA
Source: RNAcentral
GACGAACGCUGGCGGCGUGCUUAACACAUGCAAGUCGAACGGAAAGGCCCUGCUUUCGUGGGGUGCUCGAGUGGCGAACGGGUGAGUAACACGUGAGUAACCUGCCCUUUACUUUGGGAUAACUUCAGGAAACUUGGGCUAAUAGCGGAUAGGAGCUCCUGCUGCAUGGUGGGGGUUGGAUAGUUUCGGCGGUUGGGGAUGGACUCGCGGCUUAUCAGCCUGUUGGUGGGGUAGUGGAUUACCAAGGCUCUGACGGGUAGCCGGCCUGAGAGGGUGACCUGCCACACUGGCACUGAGAUAAGGCCCAGCCGCCGUCGGGAGGAAGGAGUGGGGAAUAGUGCACUAUGGGAGGGACGCUGAGGCAGGAACGCCGCGCGUGGGAUGACGGCCUUCGGGUUGUAAACCGCUUUCGCCUGGGACGAAGCGUGAGUGACGGUAAUGGGUAAAGAAGCACCGGCUAACUACGUG